Molecule: ribosomal RNA, 26 nt
Filed under: Verticillium dahliae
Lineage: Eukaryota; Fungi; Ascomycota; Sordariomycetes; Glomerellales; Plectosphaerellaceae
Description: partial 28S ribosomal RNA
Source: RNAcentral
AGGGUAGCCCUACUUCGCCUCGAUUU